This 251-nucleotide long non-coding RNA is filed under the name Malus domestica (apple). Its description in RNAcentral is "long non-coding RNA (MDOM_LNC011346)". The record is from RNAcentral. Lineage: Eukaryota; Viridiplantae; Streptophyta; Magnoliopsida; Rosales; Rosaceae.
UACAAAGAGAAUUGAGCAGCCAACGCAACUUUCGGUAUUCGGCAGGGAUCCCCAAAGUGGUGUGUACCUUCUCAUGUCUGGAGAAGUCUUGGGAUUUGAACUAAAUUCCAAAUCUACAUAAACAAAGGAGGACAAAUCAGAAGACAGCUAAACAAAAAAUGAAGCAGCUUAGAAACUAAGCAACCUACUUACCAUCUAUGAAAGUAGUUGGAACGCACAGCCCAAGCAAAAAGUCAAAUUUCCAGUCUCCG